RNAcentral lists this long non-coding RNA (6650 nucleotides) under Sus scrofa (pig). RNAcentral describes it as "lncRNA (ENSSSCG00035073874.1)". Lineage: Eukaryota; Metazoa; Chordata; Mammalia; Artiodactyla; Suidae. The record is from RNAcentral.
ACAGGCAAGAAUGACAAGGACUCAAAUGACCUUGGAAGAUCAUGUGCACAUGGCAGAGCUGCUCUCCUGGACCCUCAACGGCCCCAAGGAUCAGAGCUGCCCACAGACUGGGUUAAUUCAGUUUCCAUUUACUCAUGUGCAUGUGGAAGAAAUUUUCCCAGAAGAAAAAAAAAAGAGAAGUGGGAUGAGGAUGACCUUUUUUAAAAGCAUAAGAAAAGAAAAACACUAGAGAGGAGUUCCCAUUGUAGCUCAGCAGUCAGCGAACCCGACCAGCCUCCUUUAAAGGCUCAUUGGCUGAUAUCUCAAGAAUGGACUGGGGAAGGAGGACUUGAGUGCUUGGUGCUUUUGGUCCUUCCCUGGAAAUUGCCUGGCUGUGGCUGCAUUCCCACCCCGACUUCUCCAAGGAAGAAUCAGACAGCAAGGUGGAUGCAGUGUGAUGCCUGAACUGAGUCAGCCAUCUAGAAAAAAUAAAGAAGUCUUGUGCUGAUGAUGGAUAAGCAGAGAGAUAAAAAAAAAAUCCUGAAUCUCUGACCAUAUGCUGCUGCACUGGUACCUUGGUUCUUUUAUGUGAGUAAUAAAUACAUUUCUAAGUUGCCUAACCCAGUAGUUUUGGCAUUUUUAUCACUGUCAACAAGAUAAAUAUAGACAGAUAUAAAUAUGUCUAUAGAUAGAUACUGAUAUAUCUGUCCAUCUAUCUGCCUAGAUAGAUGUAUCUUUGCUAUGUAGAUACAUACAGUAUGCAUUCAUAUUUUUGAAUGAAUUAGGUAUUUAUCUAAAAGGAAUUGACUAAAACUUACAUAUGGUACAGAGUUAAACGGCAAGCAUCCAAAAGAUGUUAUUGAAAGCUUAAUAGUGCCAAUAUGAAGAAAGCAUUAAACAUGUUCAUCUCCCAAAGUAGUUGCAUAUGACAGAUUUCUUAAACUAGUAUCAGCACUGGAAGUGUUGCUCAGAAUUAAAGAUAUUGAACAGGUUAUCAUCUAUUGUUCCUAUGUUUCAUCAGGAAAGAAUUCACACUAGUUAGGAUAUUUUGUUUAUGCAAAUGAUUUUAUCUACAUGACUGUUGUUAGCAUUGAUUAUUAUACUCAGUGUGCUUUGUUAAUUACUUUUGUAAAAUUCUCACUUACACAAAGCUUGCAAUUGCACAAGGCAUCCAGUUUUGUGAUAUUUGACAGUUGGCCACUAGCAAUAAAACUUUAUAUGAAGACCAUGUUUUAAACCACAAAUAGAUACAACAAAAUAAUACUAACAUAAAAUCUCUAGAAAAAAAGAGACAUGCUCCUUUUUCUAGAUGAGGUUAAAUUUCUUUUGGUCUUUUUAUAUUCUAUCAGCAAACUAUAUCAUAAAUGGGUAUGAACAUGACAACAAUGUAAUGUACUUAAAUACUCCCACCAGCUCCAAUAUAAUACAACAAUUUCUUUAAAAAAAUCAUGACAUGGAUUUUAAACUUCUUUUAUAGUUAUCAUUCUUUGUUAUUUAACAUUAUCGUGCAUGACAUAUACAUAUAUAUUUUUAUUAUAGUUGAUUUAUAAUGUUCUGUCAAUUUAUGCUAUACAGCAAAGUGACCCAGUCAUACACAUAUACAUUCUUUUUCUCAUAUUAUCUUCCAUCAUAUUUUAUCACAACUGACUGAAUAUAGUUCCCUGUGCUGUACAGCAGGACCUCAUUGCUUAUCCAUUCUAAAUAUAAUAGUUUUCCUCUAGUAACCCAAACUCUCUGUCCAUCUCAUUCCUUCCCCCCACCACAGCAACCACAAGUCUGCUCUCCAUGUCUGUUGAGUCUGUUUCUAUUCUGUAGAUAGGUUCAUUUGUACCAUAUAUUAGAUUCCAUAUAUAAGUGAUAUCAUAUGGUAUUUGCCUUUCUCUUUCUGACUUGCUUCACUUAGUAUGAGAAUCUCUAGUUGCAUCCAUGUUGCUGCAAAUGGCAUUAUUUCAUUUGAUUUAUAUAUAUUGUACAUUCUAUAAAAUAUGACUUGAAUCUGAUAACAUGCAGUAAAUUAAAUGCAAAAUCCCAAAAUUAAAUUUUACAAUUUAGAGUUUGAAGAGAACUGAGAGACACUGUAACCCAAUUUCCCAACCAAGGCAUAAAUAACCUUCAAAGUAUAUUUUUCAAUAACUAGUUAAUUAUUGUACAGGCAAUAGUUUUCAAAAGUGGACACAUCUAUUUAUUGGAAAAUUACUUUUGGUUAUGAAAGUAAUAUCAUCUUCCAGAAAUUUCCACACUCUUGAGCACAAAUUGAAAUCAACCUCUUCUUUGCUCCACUUGAGAACCUUCUGAACUCUUGAAGAUAUAAUAUACUUCAUCUUUGUCUUUAAUCACAUAUCGCAGUCCUAAUAUGUCCCAUUGAACCUUUUGCGACAUGAUCUAUGACAUGAUUUUCAGGCCCUUUCCAUCUCUUCUACCUUAAAGGAUAAAAUAUUCCUAACCAAGUUUCCCACACCACAAAUACUUUAGACUUUGGCCUUCUUGAAUCUUAGAGGUUUACAAGCACAAGAUACUUAUAUAAAGUUGGUUCCUCAUUAGAUUGUUUCUUGAGAGCAGAAACCAUUAGUUUUAGUCAACUUGGGCUCCUAUAAUAAAAUUCCAUAGACUGGAUGGCUUAAAUGGAGACAUUUGUUUAUCACAGUUCUAGACGUUGCAAAUUCCAGGGUACCAGCAGAUUUGGUUCUUGAUGAGGGCCUUCUUCCUGGCUUACAAAGGGCUGACAUCUUGCUGUGUGCUGUGUGCUCACAUGGCUUUUCCUCGGUAUCUAUGUGCAAAGAGAGAGUUCUUUCAUCUCUUCAUCUUACAAGGAUACCACUUCCAUAAAGGCACCACCCUUAAGUCAUGAGACUUAAUCUAAGUCCCCUCCCAGGUCCCACCCCUACAUACCAUCAUACUGGGAGUUAGUGCUUAUAAAUUUGGGAGGGACACAAACAUUCAGUCCAUAAAACAUCAUUCCUAUAUCGAUCUUUAUAUGGCUAGAGUGGAAUCUGGCACAAGCAGAUACUCAAUAAUGGAAUGAAGUUUCAUAAUUUAUAUUGUCAAAAGUUUUCUUAGGCUGUGACUACUUAAAGAUAAGGGUUAUAUUUUAAAUGGAUCAUUACCUAGAAUACUGUGAUAACUCCUUAAACAAUCAAGCUGACUGUCAAGCAUCAUUGAAGAAAAAGAAGAAUUUUUAAAGAUGAGAUCUCCAUAAUUACAGGCAAAGGGUCAGAAUUUAAUCAUAUCUCCUAGUUCUCUUACAGUUGAAACCUAGGUUAAGUCUGUAUUUUAUCCAUAAAACUCUUACCUUUAAUAUAAACUAACUUUUUUUGAACAAAAAUAUAAGGUCAGAGCAACUCUCUAGUCAUUGCUGCUUUGUCACUAUACCAGUAUAAAUUAUUGCUGAAUCCCAUCAUUAUUCAUCCAAGUGGGUAGUCUCUGGGAAGUCAAUGAAUAGUUUAUUAUUUCUUUCUAAAGGGAAGAUAGGUUCAAGUUCUCAAUGAAGAAUCAUUGUUUUUUUAUCAUUUAGAUUAAAAACAAAAAUAUUCAAAACUUGAUUCUUCUUUGGGAAAUUGCUUGAGUCAUGUUCCUAUUUCCAUAUUGAUUCAUGGCUGUUAAAACUUUUUUGUUUUUUCAGUUCAGUACCCCUAAAGAUAUAUUAAUUGUGGUCUUCUACAAAAGGAAUUUUCUAAAGGAGAACAAGGAAAGAAUAAACUAAUAUAUGUGAUCUGCAAAACCUCUCCAAGUGAUUCUGACAAAUAACUUUCAACACCUUCCCUCAAGCUGAAAUCCUACACAGAAUUGUGUAGGGUUUCAAACUAAAAAGUAUUCUGUUUUCACAUUAAACUCUAUAACCCUAUAGAGAGCCAAAGCACUAUUCUCAUUGUUAUUGUUGUUAUGUUGACCAGGAAAGAUAGGUACACAUCUAAAUAUUAGCCCAAUGAAAGUAAUAUUCAGUAUGACAUAUACUUUGAUAGAAAGAUAGAAAGAAAGCAGGCUAGUAACCAACAUGUAUUAAUUGAGAAAUAGAGUAAUCAAUCAAAGCAAGCUGUAAAAUCUUGGUGUGCUACAAAGUCUCUGCCUCUAAAAUUGAACUUUAAAUUUGAGUGUGCAUGCAUUGAACAAUGAUCAAUGCUUUCAUGGCAGAUGUCAUCAUCUGAAUACACAAUUGUAAGCAUCAGUCUCCAUGAGGCCUGAGCAAGUGUUACUGUUGUUGAUGCUUUCCAAAAGUGAGGUGGAAACAGCUUUUUGUUUAAAAUGAAGGGAUUUGUAUGUAAUAACCCAAGAAAACCCACCAUUUGCAAAUAGUAUUGGCAUUUUCUGUCAAGUCAUGAAGAAUGAUUUAGGAUUUUUGUUUCUGGGAAGUAAGCAGACUUGAGGGAAUUUUUUUUUUUUCUCUUAGCUAGUCUUAUAAUGAAUGCCUUAAUCGUUAGGAAACCCAUUUAAAAUAUUUUACUUGCAAUUUCCUGAAAACAGCCAUGGUUCUAUACUGAAAACCUUCUAGGGAAGCCUUUAUUUUAUGACAGGAAAAUAAUAAAUAAUGCCCAUAUGCUAGAAGAUGGAGGCUGAGAUAGGAUGAAGUUCAGAGGAAUUUUUUCUAAGGCAGGAGUGAAGAAAUUAUGCAGACAUUAUUGGCCAGUACAAUUUGGAACUCUAUAUGGGCAACCACGUGAACAGUGUCUCUACAAAACUGAAGGUCAUUUAGGUUUCAGGAAAAGUAAACGAAAUAUAAACUGAAAUUGAAUGCUGCUUCUCUUUUAUAAUGAGAAUUUUUUAAAGGACGUACUUUAUUGUCAAUAAUUUGUCCCAGGAAAACGUGACUUAGAAGUUCCUGUCAUGGCGCAGUGGUUAAUGAAUCCGACUAGGAACCAUGAGGCUGUGGUUCGAUCCCUGGCUUGGCUCAGUGGGUUAAGGAUCCGGCAUUGUCGCGAGCUGUGGUGUAGGUCCCAGACAUAGCUCGGAUCCCACGUUGCUGUGGCUCUGGCAUAGGCCAGCGGCUACAGCUCUGAUUAGACCCCUAGCCUGGGAACCACCAUAUGCCAUGUGAAACGGCCCUAGAAAAGGCAAAAAGACAAAAAAAAAAAGUGACUUAGAAAAAAAUGAGAAUUUCUGCCUUGCCCAUAGAUCCUCAAUAUCUCUUCAUUAUUGGCACUUUGCUAUCAUCACUGGUGUCCCUAUCUCAGCCCCUUGAGCACAUCCUUCACUAGGGCCACUGCUGCUACCUGCAGCCCUUCUCACCUUGAGCUGUUUGAUGAUCUCUUGUCCUCCACUCCCAGAGCCACUGUUUGGGAAGCUACUGCCACUAAUUCCUCAGUCUCAGCAAUAACCAUUAAAUAUGGUAUAAAAAGCAUUAUUCUUUUUCUCAUAUAUUCUUCAAGUCAAUACUUUUAACUAUCACAGAUUAUGAAAUGAUUCUUUUUAAAUAUAGUUAUAACAUCACUUAUAAAAUGGAUUUCUGCUACAAGAGAUUUAUUUAUUAAUAUCAACUUUCUAAAACUAGCUUCACUUUGACCAGGCUGUGGAUCAGUAAGACCCAGAAUCUUUCACUUUACAAGACCUCACCCCUAAGACCACAUGGCAAGUCUCCUUGUCUAAAUUCUCUGCUUGGGUUACUGUGCUUAAUUCCACCCUUUUGCAUCCUGGCCACAGGCUUCUUUCUUCUGUGGUGAUUAUGAACAGCCUGGAGGCAAACUACUUAGGCUGGCAUUUACCUCUGUCAGUUAUUUAUUGUAUAAAAAAAAUCCAUCUCCUCAUUUGGCAAAAUGCAACUAGAAUUAUAUUGAGAGUUAAAUGAGUUAAUACAUGAAACAUAAUUAGAACAAUGCCAGAUACAUAUUGUUAUACCCAUAAGAACAAACACACAUCACCAUGGUACUUGGAAAUUAAUUCCAGUGUGGAAUGAAGGAUUAAAAAUUCUAAAAAACUAGAAUAGAAGUCACAGUGCUGACCCUGGAGAAGUGAUAGAGGUGUGGUGGAAAGAAGGUCUAUUAGGAGCUAGUUGUGUAAAAAAGAUGUAGCUAAGAAAGUGGUCAUAAGUGAAAGUAGAAGAACACAGUUUAUUAAAAACUGUGAGUGUGUUGACUAAUACGGAGUUCAGAAUCGCAGCAGGUCAGGAGUAUUUUUAGAAAAUGACAUAUGAGAGAAGAAAAAUUAAUUACAUUUUGCAAACUAGCAUAUUCAACAAAAUAAGAAGAAAUGAAGAUAGGUGGCCUAGAGGGCUGUUUUGUAGUGGGUUUUAUUUAAAAUGUUUAAAUAACUCUGAAAGAAUUCUAGAUAGUGAGUGACGAGAGAGCAAUCUAAAACAGAUGCAUUGCAAAAUGCAAGAGUAAAGGCAGAGGCAAAGUGAAUUUGCCUUUUCUAAAUACAUUUUGGGGUCUGUCUGUGGCUGUCCUUAUUUAGUUGGAUCAUGAAGAAUCACAUGACAAGUCUGGAUUCAUUUAUGACAAAAGUAUUAAAAGUAAGUGUUAAGUAAAAAUUACACGAAAAAAAUAGGACAGCAGAAUUUGUUCAAAGCUGAGGGGAGGAAGAAAAUAGUUGUAUCUUUUUUUAGGCAGGAAAUCGUGAUGGAGUUUUCAGGGAGAGUUGAGGGGAAAGUUGUCUGGAGAAAAGAUUGUUUAGGAAAGAGGUAAGUGAAGUAUAUCCUGGAGAAGGUGUCUUGUGCAAAAAAAAAAAAAAAAAAAAAAAAAAAG